RNAcentral lists this unclassified non-coding RNA (1012 nucleotides) under Leishmania donovani. RNAcentral's name for it is "gene:LdHU3.26.3580(CDS-product:CAAX_prenyl_protea se_2_putative)". The record is from RNAcentral. Lineage: Eukaryota; Euglenozoa; Kinetoplastea; Trypanosomatida; Trypanosomatidae.
UCUGAGACGGUGCUGCUGCUGUUGCUGCUACCCCGCUCCCCCCUGCCCGCUGAUGCGAAGCAGCGAACUACGCGAUGGACCUUCUCUUGUGCGCCGGCGCAUCGGCCGCCUUCAUCGCCGCCUUUUACGUCUGGCCGUGUGAGCGGCGCUUUGUUCUCUCCGGCAUGGCGUCGCUGUGCGCCGCUGCACGCGACCCAACCGUCUAUGUUGAUCGCGACAGCGAUGAAGCGAUCCGUAGACGCACGAUCUCGUUUGGCAUGUGCUGCCUUGUCAGUGGUACCUACCUUGCAUUCGGUACGGCGCCGCCUCGUACCGUCCAGCGGCAGAGCACUUUGCUGCGCCCGGUCAUCCGUUCUUCCGUGUCGACACUGCUGCUGUUUGCGGGACCCAUCGCGGAGGCGUGUCACCUCGGCACCUUCGACACACCGGAGAGCACGUUGCUGUUAUGGCGAAACUAUGUGAUCUGCCCGAUUGGGGAAGAGCUGUUCUAUCGCGGCGUUCUCUUCUCGCUUCUGCACCGCCGUUCCUCUGCAGCACGCAUUUUCGUUUCUGCCUUCCUCUUUUCGCUUUCCCACAUUCACCACCUUGUCUCUAUGGCAUGUGACGCGUACAGAAACUGCGAGGACAAAGGCGUGGCUGGUAACGACCGCGACGAGAAAGAGCGUGCGUGCUGGCGCUCAGCGGGGCACGCCAUGUGCGGCAUCUUUGUCUUUACCGCCCUAUUCGGCCUUUUGAGCGGGUACUAUUAUGAGCAUGUGUGUGAGCGUAGCAUAAUCGCCAUCGCUGCAGCCCACGCCCUGUGCAACGCCAUUGGCCCUCCGGAGUUCACAGUACUGCGGAGCCGUCAUUUCACUGCAAGAGAGAAGGUGGCAAGCGCAGCGAUCUAUGUCGCUGGUAUUGUAGGGUGGGCUUGGAUGCUGCUGCGCUACUGAACCCUUUCCCCCACGAAUACUGAUCGAUUGUCUUUGCUAGCAGCUGCGUUGAUGAACACCAGAGCGGUGUAGCGCUGAUC